GUCUUUAAGAUAUUUAAUUUAAAGUCUAAUCUGCCCAAUGAAAUUUUUAAAUGGCUGCAGAACUCUAACUGUACAAAGGUAGCAUAAUAAUUUGUUUUUUAAUUAAAAACUUGAAUGAAAGAUUAAAUGAAAUAUAAACUAUUUCAAUUAAAUUUUAUAUUAAAUUUUUUAUUUAAGUAAAAAAACUUAAAUAAAAUUUAAAGACGACAAGACCCUAUAGAAUUUUAUUUAUAUAUUUAUAUAAAUAAAUAUAUUAAAUUUUAUUGGGGUAAUAAAAAAAUUUAAUUAAUUUUUUUUUAAAAACACAUUAAUUAAUGAACAUAAAAUCUUAAUUUUUAAAUUAAAAAAAUUAAUUACCUUAGGGAUAACAGCAUAAUUUUUUUUAAAAGAUCUUAUUAAUAAAAAAGAUUGU
Molecule: ribosomal RNA, 412 nt
Filed under: Vipio belfragei
Lineage: Eukaryota; Metazoa; Arthropoda; Insecta; Hymenoptera; Braconidae
Also listed under: 1 other name
Description: partial 16S ribosomal RNA
Source: RNAcentral